This 1424-nucleotide long non-coding RNA is filed under the name Homo sapiens (human). RNAcentral describes it as "non-protein coding lnc-RGS5-1:27". The record is from RNAcentral. Lineage: Eukaryota; Metazoa; Chordata; Mammalia; Primates; Hominidae.
AUCUCUGCGUGACUUCCGCCAGCGUUUAGAGCGUUUUCGGGGUCCGAGUUGAAGAGCAAAACCAAGUGAAGGAAACUUCACUAAGUUCAGGGUGACAAGGGAGGAAGUACAGAGACUGCACUUUAAAUUCUGGAUGACAGACCUAUCAGGACUGAGUGGACCUUUGAGUGACAAGAUGGGGGUGUUCCAAAGAGACCAUGGCAGCCUGCAGCUAGGACUUUAAUAAACAGAGCGCUUAAAAAGCACUGUCUGGAUAUCUUCAGAGGGAAAAAGGAGAAAGUUAACUGAAUUGGUGACACUUCGGGUCUCUCACAGAGGAAGAGACCACCAAACCAACAGAAGCCACCAGGACAGCACACAGCCAUUCCAAAAUUCCAGACCAGGAUCAUUCCAGAAAAGCCUUACAUCUCAGUCCAGUAUAUGGAUGGUUUUGUAAGAUGACCUAUGAUUUUUCUGUUCCUCCUUCCUGCCCCUAACUUCAGAGAAACAGACCUAGAAAGAGGGAAGGAAGGAGUGAAAAAGCGUGCCAUACUUUAUCUUCUCCCCUUCUGUUUUAAACUAGACAAAUCUAUAUUUUAAUUAUUAUAAGUAACCAGAAAGUUAUAUGGUCUGGCCAGGAUGGCAUUAAAGAAAAUGAGAGAGAAAAGUUUAAGAUAGCAUGGUUGGAGACAAUAAGUAGAAGAAACCAAGUAGUUCAAGUUUUAUAACGCUCUAUCUUAUAAACACUCUUGAACCAAUAAUAAUGCUAUUACUGAAAUGCUACACACAAUUGAAGACUACUUGUUAGACCAAGACCUUAAAAACUUCUUUACUGAUUAUUCCCAAUGUGUGGCCCUGGUAAUCAUUGAAGAAUCAUUGUAUUGACUAUUAAACAUCUAGGGAUCACCUGUUUAAAUCAAGUUAACAAAACACUUACUUAACAAAUAUAUAUUGAUUGCCUAUUAUGAAGUAGAUGCUAUAGUAGGUGCUGGCAGUAUAAACAUGAAAAGAGACAUUGUGUGUGCAUAUUAAUAUACAGCAAAUUAAACUUCAGCCAGAGAAGUACUUUACUAGAAGGUUGAUAGAAGUGUGGUGGUAGCUUGCAGGAGGAAGCAGUUAGCCUCCUUGGAAAUGAGUAAUCUUCACAGAAAGUAUGACAUUUGACCUGCUUCUUGGAGAAGAUGCAUAUUAAACCUAUUAAAUCCAUGUCAGCCUUUAACACCUUUGCUCAGAUUAGUUUCUCGAGCUGUUUUCCCACCUGGUGAGCAGAUAAGAGCAGGACAGGAAAGUUCUGAUGAAAGGAAGAAGUGCCAGAGAGAGAAGGCCUUGCAAGCAAAGAAGCCUGACAGGCAGGAGCCCCUGAGUAUCCUAAGGAGAAGUACCAGCGAUUUAGGGAAGAAAAUUGCUGCCAGAAGUGCAGGAAAUAAAAAUUCUGACCUAGAUCA